Molecule: ribosomal RNA, 484 nt
Filed under: uncultured bacterium
Lineage: Bacteria
Description: partial 16S ribosomal RNA
Rfam family: Bacterial small subunit ribosomal RNA
Source: RNAcentral
AUUGAACGCUGGCGGCAGGCCUAACACAUGCAAGUCGAGCGGAUGAAGGGAGCUUGCUCCUGGAUUCAGCGGCGGACGGGUGAGUAAUGCCUAGGAAUCUGCCUGGUAGUGGGGGAUAACGUCCGGAAACGGGCGCUAAUACCGCAUACGUCCUGAGGGAGAAAGUGAGGGAUCUUCGGACCUCACGCUAUCAGAUGAGCCUAGGUCGGAUUAGCUAGUUGGUGGGGUAAAGGCCUACCAAGGCGACGAUCCGUAACUGGUCUGAGAGGAUGAUCAGUCACACUGGAACUGAGACACGGUCCAGACUCCUACGGGAGGCAGCAGUGGGGAAUAUUGGACAAUGGGCAAAAGCCUGAUCCAGCCAUGCCGCGUGUGUGAAGAAGGUCUUCGGAUUGUAAAGCACUUUAAGUUGGGAGGAAGGGCAGUAAGUUAAUACCUUGCUGUUUUGACGUUACCAACAGAAUAAGCACCGGCUAACUUCGUG